CCAGACUCCUACGGGAGGCAGCAGUGGGGAAUAUUGCACAAUGGGCGCAAGCCUGAUGCAGCCAUGCCGCGUGUAUGAAGAAGGCCUUCGGGUUGUAAAGUACUUUCAGUCGGGAGGAAGGUGGUAAGGUUAAUAACCUUAUCAAUUGACGUUACCGACAGAAGAAGCACCGGCUAACUCCGUGCCAGCAGCCGCGGUAAUACGGAGGGUGCAAGCGUUAAUCGGAAUUACUGGGCGUAAAGCGCACGCAGGCGGUCUGUCAAGUCGGAUGUGAAAUCCCCGGGCUCAACCUGGGAACUGCAUUCGAAACUGGCAGGCUGGAGUCUUGUAGAGGGGGGUAGAAUUCCAGGUGUAGCGGUGAAAUGCGUAGAGAUCUGGAGGAAUACCGGUGGCGAAGGCGGCCCCCUGGACAAAGACUGACGCGCAGGUGCGAAAGCGUGGGGAGCAAACAGGAUUAGAUACCCGUGUAAG
This 471-nucleotide ribosomal RNA is filed under the name uncultured bacterium. RNAcentral's name for it is "bacterial SSU rRNA". It matches the Rfam family "Bacterial small subunit ribosomal RNA", at positions 331 to 793 of the family's 1533-position model. The record is from RNAcentral.